Long non-coding RNA from Magnolia sinica, 388 nucleotides. RefSeq lists it as uncharacterized. The transcript has 4 exons. The record is from RefSeq and is a predicted model, not a curated record. Lineage: Eukaryota; Viridiplantae; Streptophyta; Magnoliopsida; Magnoliales; Magnoliaceae.
UGAUGUAGCUUAUACCCAUUAUAUCUCACAGUUACAACAAAGUGGGUUGCUUAAAGGGGAUGAUCACAUGGAUCGCUUUUUCCGAAUCCUCAUGGAAAUUUCUGUAGCAAAUUGUUUGGCCACUGACAUGAUUAAUCCAAGCUCAUUGUCCCUACAAACGCCACAACAAGUCCAGCAUCUCUCAUUUGCUGUUAUUGAUAUGUAUGCAAAGCUUGUGGUUUUAGUUAUUAAGUUUGGGUAUCUAUGAACAGUAUCAGGAGCAAUGGGAUGAUCUGUUGCAACCCCAUGUGUUGUGGGUUUGUUGUAUAUGAAGUUCGAUCAAUAAUGGUAACUCCCUCUCCUUUUUGUUGCAUUGUAAAAACAAAUGCAUUUGCUUGGUUUGCUGGUU